Molecule: unclassified non-coding RNA, 145 nt
Filed under: soil metagenome
Description: partial internal transcribed spacer 1
Source: RNAcentral
UAAUAAGUGUUUUAUGGCACUUUUUAAAUCCAUAUCCACCUUGUGUGCAAUGUCAGUCGAUCUUCUUCAUGGAGAUCGACCAAACAUCAACCUUUAUUUUUUAACUCUUUGCCUGAAAAAUAUUAUGAAUAAACAAUUCAAAAUA